Molecule: ribosomal RNA, 253 nt
Filed under: uncultured bacterium
Lineage: Bacteria
Description: partial 16S ribosomal RNA
Rfam family: Bacterial small subunit ribosomal RNA
Source: RNAcentral
UACGUAGGGCGCAAGCGUUGUCCGGAAUUAUUGGGCGUAAAGAGCUCGUAGGCGGCUUGUCGCGUCGGCUGUGAAAACCUGGGGCUCAACCCCGGGCCUGCAGCCGAUACGGGCAAGCUAGAAUUCGGUAGGGGAGACUGGAAUUCCUGGUGUAGCGGUGAAAUGCGCAGAUAUCAGGAGGAACACCGGUGGCGAAGGCGGGUCUCUGGGCCGGUACUGACGCUAAGGAGCGAAAGCGUGGGGAGCGAACAGG